Molecule: ribosomal RNA, 381 nt
Filed under: uncultured marine Chaetocerotaceae
Lineage: Eukaryota; Bacillariophyta; Thalassiosirophyceae; Chaetocerotales; Chaetocerotaceae
Description: SSU rRNA
Rfam family: Eukaryotic small subunit ribosomal RNA
Source: RNAcentral
AGCUCCAAUAGCGUAUAUUAAAGUUGCUGCAGUUAAAAAGCUCGUAGUUGCAUUUCCGAGGCAAGGGAUUAGUCCGACCUUUGGUGGGUAUUUAAUCCUCUUGCCUCGUCCUUGUGUGGUGCUUCUUGGUAUUAAGUUAUCGAGGAGAUAGCCGCUCAUCGUUUACUGUGAGAAAAUUAGAGUGUUCAAAGCAGGCUUAUGCCGUUGAAUAUAUUAGCAUGGAAUAAUAAGAUAGGACCUCGGUACUAUUUUGUUGGUUUGAGAACCAAGGUAAUGAUUAAUAGGGACAGUUGGGGGUAUUCGUAUUCAGUUGUCAGAGGUGAAAUUCUUAGAUUUACGGAAGACGAACUACUGCGAAAGCAUUUACCAAGGAUGUUUUCA